Non-coding RNA from Carica papaya (papaya), 1823 nucleotides. NCBI's taxonomy places the organism in Eukaryota, Viridiplantae, Streptophyta, Magnoliopsida, Brassicales, Caricaceae. The record is from RefSeq and is a predicted model, not a curated record.
AAUAAAAAGAGCUUGUUUAUAAUUUGAAAACAUGCCAUCUAUUGACAGAGUAUCUUUAAUCCAUAGACACAAUCCAAUCCAUCUCAAGUUUCAUAUUUGAAAAAACAGCAAAGAUGAUACCUCUUAACAAAUGGAAGCACUAUUUGGAUGAGUCACAGUGGCCUUAAAAUGAGCAGGAAUAGAAACAAGAAACAAAUACCUUAUCAAAAUACUCAAAAUUCAGUUAGACAAGUUAAAAGAUGUAACUAAGAUAAGGAUGAAAAUUCACUAUGCAAGCUUGACACUUAGCUCCAAACUAUACUGCUUGUGGUAGAUAACAAUAGUCUGAAUAUGUUUCCUUAUUUUCUUAGGUGUGUGGAAGGGAAAAGUCAUAAUAGGUAAUUUAAGAAAAGAAAAAGAAAAAAGGAAAUCACAAGGUUCAUCAACAACAAAAAGGCACCUGUUGCAGUUGCUGUUAAGCAAUUGAUGGAUGACUCAAAAUAUUAAUGGAUUCCUUCCCAGUAAACUGCAUUGGCAGGCACAGAUAUCACAGAACCAGAAGCUUAUAUUUGGCCAUUGCUUCCUAGUGAGGAAACUAAAACUCAGAGAAAGAGUACAAGAUCAUGUUAAGAUAAUUGCGUAUAUACACAUUAAGUGGUGCCAAUACAUCUUUACUCUUUGUUUUCUGAAAAUAUUUGACAAAUUCAGGAUUCCUCAAAAUGUUUUGGAACAAGAACCUCUCCAGAGCAAGUAGUUAAUGGAGUAAACAGGUUCUGAACUUGAUUUUACUGUGUCGUAAGAGCGCUGAAUCAACAUCUGUCUUAUCUCAGAGAAAUUACUUCUCAUGACUGAGUUACAGAAGUAGGUUGGUUGAUGAAGAGGAAGAAGCCCCGUAGAAGGAAUCGGGGGCACGAACCAUUCGCACUGGUAAAAUACUACUUACUAGAUAGAAAGUGAUCCGUUCAAAGAAGUCACGCAAUCGACCAGAAGACAGUUGAAACAUGAACGUUCGAUACCAUAUUCAUUGAACACAAUUAUACAUCAAAAUGUUUUACAUCCUAGGUAUAGACCUUAGAGAUUAAGAGAACAAAUGGCAUAUUUUAGAUGCUUAAAAAUUCAGAAAGAGCAACUCCAUACAUAAACCGAGUACAUUGUCCAAUACAUACCAUCAAUCACUAGGACAUAAAUACAAUACAUUAACUAAUACCAGCCAAGGCUUUAGUACAUUUCUUAACCAAUAAGUUGCUGUACUAGAUUACCAGAAUCUGAGAAAAUUACGUUUGGGAGAUUCUAGAGUUUUGAUAAAUGUAAACUGAAAUACAGAAAAUAGGGGCUGAGAAAGUACGGAUUUUCCUAUCCUUUAUAUUAUAAUUGUAUCCACUAAAGAUGAAGGAAUUUGAUUAAGUUCCACAGAUGCUUUCCAAAUUUAGAAUGCUUUUGUCUUCAAUCCACAAAUAAGUAAUUCAAUGAAUACACGAAGGCAUAGAACAGUUUCUAAUUUUUAAUUUCUAAAUAAAUAAAUGUUUACAUAAAAAAAUUGUAUAGUAAUAUUUGUAGUAUGUGGUAUAAGUAUAAAAUUUAAAAAAAAAAUUCUACGAACACGAAAAAGUUUUCUUUUUUAUUAUCAUUUUCUAACUAGCAUCUCAUUUUCUAAAUGUUGUUUUUAUUUUCAAAGUACCAAAUGUAGCUAAAUUUCCAACUUAAAAGUUUCUACAUUUGGUACAUUCUUCAAUUGAAAAAUUCGAUAUUUUAACCUUCAUCAAGUAAAAUGACAUUAAAAUUUGUAAUCUGGAAAAGCCCAGUUGUAAUUAUCUCUACAUCAAAAAAAAAAAAAAAAAAAAAAA